Long non-coding RNA from Triticum dicoccoides, 377 nucleotides. RefSeq lists it as uncharacterized. The transcript has 3 exons. The record is from RefSeq and is a predicted model, not a curated record. NCBI's taxonomy places the organism in Eukaryota, Viridiplantae, Streptophyta, Magnoliopsida, Poales, Poaceae.
CCUGCAAUUCCAUGGACGGCAUCGAUGGCCGAGACAUGCGCCCAAGCUGACGAGGACAUUGCCGGGUCCAACCUCAACCUCCACUAUGAGGUUGUCCACCACGACUCCCAGCAGGAGGAGAAGGUAUCGAGCAGAGUAGAAGGGGUUCAAUGAAUGGCAUCGGUGAGGAGGAAGAAGACCACCGGGAUAUGAGGGAUCCCACGCCCAAUGAGCUCGACGACCUGGCGGAACCUCUAUGUACUGCUAGCCUUGCACAAUAUUAGGAGCAUGGCGCCCUCGAUGCCGAGCAGGGUGCCGAUGACCUUGGCCUGGCCGGUGAACAUCCGGAUGUCGCUCUUCGCCCCUGCCUCCUCCUCUCCUCUCCCCCAGCAUGUGGA